GUGGGGAAUAUUGGACAAUGGCCGAGAGGCUGAUCCAGCCAUGCCGCGUGCGGGAAGACGGCCCUAUGGGUUGUAAACCGCUUUUGUUGGGGAGCAAUAAGGUCCACGUGUGGAUCGAUGAGAGUACCCAGCGAAUAAGCAUCGGCUAACUCCGUGCCAGCAGCCGCGGUAAUACGGAGGAUGCAAGCGUUAUCCGGAUUUAUUGGGUUUAAAGGGUGCGUAGGCGGAUGCUUAAGCGUGAGGUGAAAUGCCCGGGCUCAACCUGGGAACUGCCUCGCGAACUGGGUAUCUGGAAUGUCCGUGCCGUGGGAGGAAUGUGUGGUGUAGCGGUGAAAUGCAUAGAGAUCACACAGAACACCGAUUGCGAAGGCAUCUCACGAACGGAUGAUUGACGCUGAGGCACGAAAGCGUGGGGAUCAAACAGG
This 425-nucleotide ribosomal RNA is filed under the name uncultured rumen bacterium. Its description in RNAcentral is "bacterial SSU rRNA". It matches the Rfam family "Bacterial small subunit ribosomal RNA", at positions 354 to 776 of the family's 1533-position model. The record is from RNAcentral.